Molecule: ribosomal RNA, 2300 nt
Filed under: Vibrio kanaloae
Lineage: Bacteria; Pseudomonadati; Pseudomonadota; Gammaproteobacteria; Vibrionales; Vibrionaceae
Description: partial 23S ribosomal RNA
Rfam family: Bacterial large subunit ribosomal RNA
Source: RNAcentral
CAGGAGGCAAACCGGGGGAACUGAAACAUCUAAGUACCCCGAGGAAGAGAAAUCAACCGAGAUUCCGAAAGUAGCGGCGAGCGAAAUUGGAUUAGCCCUUAAGCUUUUAAUGAUGCAGGUGAAGCCUCUGGAAAGUGGCGCAGUAAAGGGUGAUAGCCCCGUAACCGACACAUCAUCAUCAGUGAAAUCGAGUAAGGCGGGACACGUGAUAUCCUGUCUGAAUAUGGGGGGACCAUCCUCCAAGGCUAAAUACUACUGACUGACCGAUAGUGAACCAGUACCGUGAGGGAAAGGCGAAAAGAACCCCUGUGAGGGGAGUGAAAUAGAACCUGAAACCGUGUACGUACAAGCAGUAGGAGCACCUUCGUGGUGUGACUGCGUACCUUUUGUAUAAUGGGUCAGCGACUUAAUUUUAGUAGCAAGGUUAACCGUUUAGGGGAGCCGUAGGGAAACCGAGUCUUAACUGGGCGUACAGUUGCUAGGAUUAGACCCGAAACCAGGUGAUCUAGCCAUGGGCAGGUUGAAGGUUGAGUAACAUCAACUGGAGGACCGAACCGACUAAUGUUGAAAAAUUAGCGGAUGACUUGUGGCUAGGGGUGAAAGGCCAAUCAAACCUGGAGAUAGCUGGUUCUCCCCGAAAGCUAUUUAGGUAGCGCCUCGGACGAAUACUACUGGGGGUAGAGCACUGUUAAGGCUAGGGGGUCAUCCCGACUUACCAACCCUUUGCAAACUCCGAAUACCAGUAAGUACUAUCCGGGAGACACACGGCGGGUGCUAACGUCCGUCGUGGAGAGGGAAACAACCCAGACCGCCAGCUAAGGUCCCAAAGUAUAGCUAAGUGGGAAACGAUGUGGGAAGGCUCAGACAGCCAGGAUGUUGGCUUAGAAGCAGCCAUCAUUUAAAGAAAGCGUAAUAGCUCACUGGUCGAGUCGGCCUGCGCGGAAGAUGUAACGGGGCUAAGCUAUACACCGAAGCUGCGGCUACGUACCUUAGGGUAUGUGGGGUAGGGGAGCGUUCUGUAAGCCGUUGAAGGUGGUCUGUAAGGGCUGCUGGAGGUAUCAGAAGUGCGAAUGCUGACAUGAGUAACGAUAAAGGGAGUGAAAAACUCCCUCGCCGGAAGACCAAGGGGUGAAGUCAUUGAUGCCAUGCUUCCAGGAAAAGCCUCUAAGCUUCAGAUUGUAAGGAAUCGUACCCCAAACCGACACAGGUGGUCGGGUAGAGAAUACCAAGGCGCUUGAGAGAACUCGGGUGAAGGAACUAGGCAAAAUGGUACCGUAACUUCGGGAGAAGGUACGCUCUUAUCAGUGAAGUCCCUUGCGGAUGGAGCAGACGAGAGUCGCAGAUACCAGGUGGCUGCAACUGUUUAUUAAAAACACAGCACUGUGCAAAAUCGUAAGAUGACGUAUACGGUGUGACGCCUGCCCGGUGCCGGAAGGUUAAUUGAUGGGGUUAGACUUCGGUCGAAGCUCUUGAUCGAAGCCCCGGUAAACGGCGGCCGUAACUAUAACGGUCCUAAGGUAGCGAAAUUCCUUGUCGGGUAAGUUCCGACCUGCACGAAUGGCGUAAUGAUGGCCACGCUGUCUCCACCCGAGACUCAGUGAAAUUGAAAUCGCUGUGAAGAUGCAGUGUACCCGCGGCUAGACGGAAAGACCCCGUGAACCUUUACUACAGCUUGGCACUGAACAUUGAACCUACAUGUGUAGGAUAGGUGGGAGACUAUGAAAUUGCGUCGCUAGAUGUGAUGGAGUCGUCCUUGAAAUACCACCCUUGUAGUUUUGAUGUUCUAACGUUGGUCCCUGAAUCGGGAUUACGGACAGUGCCUGGUGGGUAGUUUGACUGGGGCGGUCUCCUCCCAAAGAGUAACGGAGGAGCACGAAGGUGGGCUAAACACGGUUGGACAUCGUGUGGUUAGUGCAAUGGCAUAAGCCCGCUUGACUGCGAGAAUGACAAUUCGAGCAGGUGCGAAAGCAGGUCAUAGUGAUCCGGUGGUUCUGAAUGGAAGGGCCAUCGCUCAACGGAUAAAAGGUACUCCGGGGAUAACAGGCUGAUACCGCCCAAGAGUUCAUAUCGACGGCGGUGUUUGGCACCUCGAUGUCGGCUCAUCACAUCCUGGGGCUGAAGUCGGUCCCAAGGGUAUGGCUGUUCGCCAUUUAAAGUGGUACGCGAGCUGGGUUUAGAACGUCGUGAGACAGUUCGGUCCCUAUCUGCCGUGAUAGGCAGGGUGUGUAAGUGCUGCGAGGCAUUGAGCUAACCUGUACUAAUUGCCCGUGAGGCUUAACCAUACAACACCCAAGGGGUUU